This is a long non-coding RNA of Taeniopygia guttata (zebra finch), 553 nucleotides long. RefSeq lists it as uncharacterized. NCBI's taxonomy places the organism in Eukaryota, Metazoa, Chordata, Aves, Passeriformes, Estrildidae. The record is from RefSeq and is a predicted model, not a curated record.
GGUUUGCCUGGUUCCUUCAAAACAGAGACUAGAGGAUGCCCAAAUGAUACUGCUCCUUUUGAAGGCUGCCCUCAGAAGGCUUCGUUCUGCACUGGCUGGUAAGCCUCAGUGCUUCAGGCAUUUGAAUUAAAGAUUCCUGGACCAUCCUUCUCAUGUGGUAAUUUUUCUCUUUCCUGGGAAAAUAACUUCUGAUUUCUGACUCAGUGAGUUUCUUCUGUGACAAGAAUGGCCAACAGAGUGAUGUACAGGUUAUGUUUAUGUUUCUCCCUUUUUCUUACUUUUUAAAAAAACUGUGUCUUCUGAAUUGAGCUGAAGCCAAGAACUAGUGUGAGAGUACAGACUUGUGAUAAGUUCUUGUGACUCAGAGACUAUUAUGGGGAAGGUGAGAGGAAGUGAAGAGUGGUGUUCAGAGAUGCUAUUAGCUUGGUAUUUUCUCUAUGUCUCUUUCACACUGUAUGCUUUCUUUUCUUCGCCUUAGAAAGAUUGGCUACCUCUGUAAUAUGAAAUUUAAUAAUGGAAUAUAUUGGUUAUCUAUUAAACUUUGUUUUCUGUA